CCACGCCUCGCCCCAGACCACGAGGCGGGAGGGCGCGCGCAUGCGCCGCGGCCUGCGGCACGCGGGCGCUCGGCGCGCGCUUCACCCUAGACGCCCGCGGGCGCGAGGCUGGCCGUUGGGGCGGGGUCAACGGCCGGCGUUCGGGAGCGUUAGUGUGCGCCUGCCGUGAGCCCUGUGAGGAGGGCAGAGCGAGGGGAGCCGCGGCAAGAAUCCUUUCCAAAAGCAAAAUUUUGGUUCUCUCCAAGCAAUACUGCAUGUGCUCUGCAUUUUGAUCAGUUGCAUAACUUAGCUGGGAUAUAUUCUGGCCAGUAAAGAAGAUUGUAACAUUUUUCAGCCACACAGGAUUGCCUGAUUUCUGCAAAUCUACAUGUACAGUGAAAGUGAAUUUCUGUUGAAGUGGAAUUUCACUAGCCUUUGUAGGCUUUAUGAGUUUAAUAUGGAACAACAGAUCUGCUGGUGUAGCUUACCAGUGGCUCCAGGUAUUCCAGCAAAAGACCAGAGAAAGGAAAACCAACACAAAUUAAAAGAGACCAACUGAAAGUUUGACUGGGCUUUUCACCAAGAGCUAUGAUCAUGAGUACCUAUGACUGUGCAGCUAAUCAUAUUUUAGAAGAAAAAUGGAGAGAUGAUGUGAUAGCCCAGAUGCCCUGAGGAUAAAAUGUUGUGAACAUAUGUUGUGAUUCCUUGAAUUAAGUUGUCAUCAGAGUCAUGGACACAAGAUUCCCCAGGGAGCAGAUUGCCAUACGCUCAAGGCUUCACUUAUUCCACUGGAGGAUCUGCACAUACAUAAACAAGUAAUUCAAGAAAGUAAGCUGCUGUAAGUACAGCAAUUAUCUUUCCAGCUUGCUGCAGGAACAAUACCCCUCGCGUAAUUCCAGGAAGGAAGAAGAACUCAUGAAGUCAGCACAGAGGGGUUUGUCUCAGAGUCAUGUUUUACUCCUUACAUGGUGCAUUUCAUUUUGGCAAGCAGACUGCCAGUCUUACAGACAUAAACAAGAGGAGUAUCAGUAAGAAGCUCACAGUAUAGCCUCCCCGGAUGCACCUGUGUGGCCCCAAUUUGAAGACUGACCAUGUAAAAUCACCUCAGCAUUAUCCUCUCUGUGAUAUUUCCAUUGGGGGAGGAAAGAGGAGAGAGCACUGACAAAGACAAAACGAGCAAGGAAUUUAGAGGGAAAAGUGGCAACUAAUGAUAGUCAGCAAGGUAUAUGAACUUGCAUCCCUCAAAAGCUUCUUUUUCUGCCUAAGCUGAGUAUGAUGGAGAGAGAGUUGAAAUACAGCUGAAUAUCAAAGGAAUAAGAAACUGAAUACUUCAGACCUGAACUUUGUCAUCAUUGAUCAAUCUUCUAAAAUGAAAGGGAUGACUAUUGCUCUAGCUGAGUGUUGACAACAACAACAACAACAACAACAACAACAACAACAACAACAACAACAACAACAACAACAACAACAACAACAACAACAUGAGUGCUUGUGCUCUGCCUCAGCACAAAGUCAGUUAGCUUGGCUCAAAUCAUGCUGUAUUUCCAGUGAAGCUGGUUGGAGGAGACAGUGUU
Dromaius novaehollandiae (emu) is the source of this 1553-nucleotide long non-coding RNA. RefSeq lists it as uncharacterized. The transcript has 10 exons. The record is from RefSeq and is a predicted model, not a curated record. Lineage: Eukaryota; Metazoa; Chordata; Aves; Casuariiformes; Dromaiidae.